UACAGAGGUCCCAAGCGUUGUUCGGAUUCAUUGGGCGUAAAGGGUGCGUAGGCGGCGCGGUAAGUCGGGUGUGAAAUCUCGGAGCUUAACUCCGAAACUGCAUUCGAUACUGCCGUGCUUGAGGACUGGAGAGGAGACUGGAAUUUACGGUGUAGCGGUGAAAUGCGUAGAUAUCGUAAGGAAGACCGGUGGCGAAGGCGGGUCUCUGGACAGUUCCUGACGCUGAGGCACGAAGGCCAGGGGAGCAAACGGG
Molecule: ribosomal RNA, 253 nt
Filed under: uncultured bacterium
Lineage: Bacteria
Description: partial 16S ribosomal RNA
Rfam family: Bacterial small subunit ribosomal RNA
Source: RNAcentral